This 497-nucleotide ribosomal RNA is filed under the name uncultured bacterium. RNAcentral's name for it is "partial 16S ribosomal RNA". It matches the Rfam family "Bacterial small subunit ribosomal RNA", at positions 28 to 507 of the family's 1533-position model. The record is from RNAcentral.
GACGAACGCUGGCGGCGUGCCUAAUACAUGCAAGUUGAGCGCUGAAGGUUGGUACUUGUACCAACUGGAUGAGCAGCGAACGGGUGAGUAACGCGUGGGGAAUCUGCCUUUGAGCGGGGGACAACAUUUGGAAACGAAUGCUAAUACCGCAUAAAAACUUUAAACACAAGUUUUAAGUUUGAAAGAUGCAAUUGCAUCACUCAAAGAUGAUCCCGCGUUGUAUUAGCUAGUUGGUGAGGUAAAGGCUCACCAAGGCGAUGAUACAUAGCCGACCUGAGAGGGUGAUCGGCCACAUUGGGACUGGGACACGGCCCAAACUCCUACGGGAAGCAGCAGUAGGGAAUCUUCGGCAAUGGACGGAAGUCUGACCGAGCAACGCCGCGGGAGUGAAGAAGGGUUUCGGAUCGGAAAACUCUGUUGGUAGAGAAGAACGUUGGUGAGAGUGGAAAGCUCAUCAAGUGACGGUAACUACUCAGAAAGGGACGGCUAACUACGUG